Oncorhynchus tshawytscha (Chinook salmon) is the source of this 438-nucleotide long non-coding RNA. Lineage: Eukaryota; Metazoa; Chordata; Actinopteri; Salmoniformes; Salmonidae. The record is from Ensembl.
UCUCCCCCUCUCACCUUUUCUUCUCAUUUGUGGAGUUCAGUGCACAUCACAUCAGCUGUAUGUGACCAGGCGAAAGAACCUUUCCAAGUGGUGUGUUACAGUAAAACAGGGACUAAUCCAUACUGGACCAAUGCUGCCUCCAGGAUACAGUAUGUCUGUCUAAUGCACCCCAAUGCAGCACCAGAGCAAUUUGGGCAUAAUUUGGAGCUCACACCAGAGUCCAAAAGUCCAGAAGAAGCGCAGGGUGAGUGGGCGCCAGGCAGGCAGCUCUGCUCUGUGGGUCCAGAGAGACAGGCUCCAGCCAGCACUGUGAGAGAGAGGCUGAACUUGGUUCUGCUCCGGUUCUGGUGCUGGCUCACCGGCAGGCCCCCGCGGCUCGGGCCCCGCUCCAGGAUGGGCGGCAGCAGAGCGGACAAAGGAGCUCAGUCUCUACAGGGG